UACGUAGGGUGCGAGCGUUAAUCGGAAUUACUGGGCGUAAAGGGCGCGUAGGCGGCCGAUCAAGUCGGGGGUGAAAGCCUGUGGCUCAACCACAGAAUUGCCUUCGAUACUGUUUGGCUUGAGACCGGAAGAGGUAAGUGGAACUGCGAGUGUAGAGGUGAAAUUCGUAGAUAUUCGCAAGAACACCAGUGGCGAAGGCGGCUUACUGGUCCGGUUCUGACGCUGAGGCGCGAAAGCGUGGGGAGCAAACAGG
This 253-nucleotide ribosomal RNA is filed under the name uncultured bacterium. Its description in RNAcentral is "partial 16S ribosomal RNA". It matches the Rfam family "Bacterial small subunit ribosomal RNA", at positions 524 to 776 of the family's 1533-position model. The record is from RNAcentral.